RNAcentral lists this transfer RNA (73 nucleotides) under Immersiella caudata. Its description in RNAcentral is "Cercophora caudata tRNA". It matches the Rfam family "tRNA". From Rfam's summary of the family: Transfer RNA (tRNA) molecules are approximately 80 nucleotides in length. Their secondary structure includes four short double-helical elements and three loops (D, anti-codon, and T loops). Lineage: Eukaryota; Fungi; Ascomycota; Sordariomycetes; Sordariales; Lasiosphaeriaceae. The record is from Rfam by way of RNAcentral.
UCCCCUGUGGCGCAAUCGGCAGCGCGUCAGACUGUUAAUCUGGAGGCUGUAAGUUCGAACCUUACCGGGGGAG